RNAcentral lists this ribosomal RNA (274 nucleotides) under uncultured bacterium. RNAcentral describes it as "partial 16S ribosomal RNA". It matches the Rfam family "Bacterial small subunit ribosomal RNA", at positions 523 to 796 of the family's 1533-position model. The record is from RNAcentral.
AUACGGAGGGUGCAAGCGUUAAUCGGAAUUACUGGGCGUAAAGCGUGCGUAGGUGGUUUGUUAAGUUAGAUGUGAAAGCCCCGGGCUCAACCUGGGAACUGCAUUUGAAACUGGCAUACUAGAGUAUAGGAGAGGAAAGUGGAAUUUCAGGUGUAGCGGUGAAAUGCGUAGAUAUCUGAAGGAACAUCAAUGGCGAAGGCAGCUUUCUGGACUAAUACUGACACUGAGGUACGAAGGCGUGGGUAGCAAACAGGAUUAGAUACCCCAGUAGUCC